RNAcentral lists this small nuclear RNA (109 nucleotides) under Kryptoperidinium foliaceum. Its description in RNAcentral is "partial Dictyostelium signal recognition particle". Lineage: Eukaryota; Dinophyceae; Peridiniales; Kryptoperidiniaceae. The record is from RNAcentral.
AUUUUCGCGUUCAGAAGGAUUCGAUGCAUCACGAACACGAGGCAGGCGAGGUGAAGGAUGGUGACAAGGCCAACGCUAUGCUUGGUAUUGGGGAGCGAGCGAAAGACGC